GACGAACGCUGGCGGCGUGCCUAAUACAUGCAAGUAGAACGCUGAAGCUUGGUGCUUGCACCGAGCGGAUGAGUUGCGAACGGGUGAGUAACGCGUAGGUAACCUGCCUGGUAGCGGGGGAUAACUAUUGGAAACGAUAGCUAAUACCGCAUAAGAGUAGAUGUUGCAUGACAUUUGCUUAAAAGGUGCAAUUGCUUCACUACCAGAUGGACCUGCGUUGUAUUAGCUAGUUGGUGAGGUAACGGCUCACCAAGGCAACGAUACAUAGCCGACCUGAGAGGGUGAUCGGCCACACUGGGACUGGGACACGGCCCAGACUCCUACGGGAGGCAGCAGUAGGGAAUCUUCGGCAAUGGACGGAAGUCUUACCGAGCAACAGCACGUGAGUGAAGAAGGUUUUCGGAUCGUAAAGCUCUGUUGUAAGAGAAAAACGGGUGUGAGAAUGGAAAAUACACACUGUGACGGUAUCUUACCAGAAAGAGACGGCUAACUACGUG
Molecule: ribosomal RNA, 497 nt
Filed under: uncultured bacterium
Lineage: Bacteria
Description: partial 16S ribosomal RNA
Rfam family: Bacterial small subunit ribosomal RNA
Source: RNAcentral